Rattus norvegicus (Norway rat) is the source of this 658-nucleotide long non-coding RNA. RefSeq lists it as uncharacterized. The record is from RefSeq and is a predicted model, not a curated record. NCBI's taxonomy places the organism in Eukaryota, Metazoa, Chordata, Mammalia, Rodentia, Muridae.
AGCCAGGCUUGGUGAUACAGGUCCCAGCUCUUACUGUGCUUAGAUAGGGAGACUAUGAGUCUCGUGAGUUUGAGUCUAGCCUUAGAUGUGGCUUAGUGUGGUGGCUUGAGUAUGCUUGGCCUAGAGGGAGUGGCAUUGUUGAGGGGUGUGGCCUUGUUGGAGGAAGUGUGUCACCGUGGGGGCGGGCUUUCAGAGACCCUCCUCCUAGCAGCUUGCAAGUCAGUUUUCUAGCAGCCCUCAGGUGAAGAUGUAGAACUCUCAGUUCCUCCUGCACCAUGCCUGCCUGGACACUGCUGUGCUUCUGCCUUGAUGAUCGUUAAGCAUGAUGGGAGGUGAGAGAAGACUUCAUUCCAUCUACUAGAACCUAGUCAUGCCCUGCGCUAGCCCUCAUCCCUCUUCCACAGCUCCUCCAGGGAUGGCUGAAGGUCUGGAGGUCUUAGCACAGACCUCGGCUAGAAAGAAGACAAGAUCCACAGUUCCUUAGUGCCCCCUAUGGGUCCAAAGGAUGGAGACACUUGAAAGAGGCUGCCCAAGAAGCCACUUCUCCCAACACCCCGCACACCUCCACCCAGGACAGCCAGGACAUCUCUGGCUCCUACCUCAGAGCCAGAGGGCUCAAACUGAUCCCUAAUUUAAGGUGAAACUUUCUUUCUUUUAA